Molecule: RNA transcript, 3938 nt
Organism: Triticum dicoccoides
Lineage: Eukaryota; Viridiplantae; Streptophyta; Magnoliopsida; Poales; Poaceae
Exons: 4
Source: RefSeq, a predicted model, not a curated record
GCCGCGCCUUCGCCGCCUCCCCGGCUGCAGCUUGGCCGCCGCCACUCCGCCUCCGCCACGCCGCAACUCCGCCGGAGUCGCAAGUAAGUUUCUAUACUCAGAGACCAAGCAAACAAAUUUCAUAUUCUGCCAGCAUAUACUCAGAGACAAAUAGCUGCCAUCAGGAUUCCUGAAAUUUAUGAGGACAUAUUGAAUUAGUGAGGAUUUCAUAAAUUUUUAGUCCAAGCAACUCAUACAUUUGAAGUUUUGUUGCUUACCUUCCCAUCCCAUUGUGUUGCUAUGCUCCUGAAGUUGCCUAACUACAGGAAAAGGAGGCCAAAGUAUCGGCAGCGAUGUUUUGUUUUGUGAGAACUACUCAAAUAUAUAAUCUAAAUAUACUAGCUGGAUGUUCGGCUACAUUCAUUAUGCCUUUCGGUAAACUUGAUGUUGGAUGAUACCACUGGAUGUAUUUCAGUCUUCUUGAUUGUUUUUGCAUUUGCUCAAAAUCUUUUCACCCAGAGAUUAUUAUGUGGGCUGCUUCAGUCUGUAGGUAAGACUCGCAAAAAAAAGUCUGUAGAUACUUCUAUAAUCAACAGAGAAGAAAAAAACUAAAAUUAGAGCUCUAUAUAACUGUACUGUUUACAUUGAGCAUGACACUGUUUUAAUUUUCAGAGUGGGCUGCCUGCUUGCAGCAGCAGUUUUGCAUCUUUGGCAAAUACAGAAUACCCACCGUUGUUGUUGACCUCCCAGAAUGUUUACACCUUCGUCAUGCUUUACCUGCCAGUAAUUGUCAACAAUGUGUCAAGUCAGUACACAUUUUCUGCUGAUUGCAAGAAUGGCAGCGACCAUGUGACUGAAGUGAGCAAACACGUCCAGGUCCUUUUGGCAUGGUGAGUGUCCUCCCAGCUAGAACAGUUAGAGGUGAAGCAGAGAGCACCGCCAGAAAUAUAAAGCUGCUGAAAGAAAUUACAAAAGCACAAGAACAAUUUAAUAUAAUCCGAAUGAUCAAGCGAAAAGAAUGCAAACAAACUCGCUGGAUGUUCAUCCACUGAAUAGUAGGAGUGCUUUAGUAGUAGUAUCGAUAGAUUAGAGAUAUAAGUGCAGAAAUUAUGAAAGUAAGCCUCCUGGGAUUUGUCACACAAGGGGAAACAAAGAGAAGAGGAAAACACCUACGAGAAUGAAAUACUGGAAGGUCGACAAGUGAUUUCCAUUGCUCACCUCGGCCUGCUAUGAACCUGUGACCGUGACAGUGCCGCCCGUUCUCCUACCCGGCGUCCUAUUCCUCCAUCCCACGUUGCUUACAUGUAACCGUGAAAAGUUAGUUGCUUACAUGUCCAGAUUGGUACUGCAAAGAUCAUGUUGCUGGUAUCCCAUGAAUGCCAGUUGUGUGAUUGUUUCUAGCAAUUUUCGGAGCCUUAUGAUCGUUAUGCAUUUUUGCCUGCAGUUCAUACAUAAUAUUUCCUAUGUCUGCCUUUGGAAGGUUUGCUGCCAUACUAUCGAUUGACAGUGCUUUAUGUGUUCUUCUUGACCGUUGGUGGACUCUAUAUGAAUACUGCUCCAAGAAAUCAAUCCUACCGCCCAUCGCCGCACUGAUCGCUAUGGCAUUUUGGGGGGCGCUUCCUGUUCGCAUAAUGAGUAAAUAAUAUACAUUCCAAUGGGAGGACAAACUUUUGAUGCUGGUGAAUUCUUUACAAUCAUUCCAAUGGCAGCACAAACUGAAGGUAUUUAUGUAGGCACAGAUCAUUGCUACACCAGAAUAAAUUGAGUAUUGAGUAAAUAAGACGCCCAGUUUUAUAAUACAGUCUACCGGUGCUUUCAUUGUGGUUUCACGGUAAUACCACCAUGCCCUCCUUCUGUUAUGAUUGACACAAGGAGUGUCUUACUUGAAAUUUACAGAAUGGUAAGCGCUAUAAUUUAUUGGCGAUCUUGUGCUGUUGGCUGACCCAAACAAGGUACUGUUGAAUUGAGGUGUUGUAAAAGUUUUUUUAAACUCAUGCAUGAGUACAAGUUGAACUAUUUGUAGUAUAUCUUCAUCGUUUCUUAUGAAGUGGAUGGGAGAAAGUGAUAACUGGUCACAGACAUCAUUUGGAAUAAUGUUGGACUCAGGCAUAGUGGUCCCUGAUCUAACGAGCAAAGGGAAACCAUUUACGGAUUUGGUUGUGUCGCAAAUAGCCCGGCAUGCUCUCAUGUAAUUCUUGAUCUACCGCGGAUUAUCCUUUUCUAUAUUAAUGGAACGUCGCACAGUUCUCUUGCGCAUUCAGAAAAAAAUAGUUUUGCAACCUUUAAAUUUUGAUGAAGCCUUUGAUAAUUCUUUUUUAUCUUCUAAUUCUCUUUUGACUGUGCUUAACGUACGACUUACCUAAUAUUAUGAUUUUGCACCACGGUUUCCCUUCGCUGUUUGUAUAUGUUGGGACUAUUGAUUUUUUUUAAGUGAUUUUCAGUUCCUCACAACAGAUUUCUUUUGGAGUUUUUACUGAUCAGUAUGUUGGAGAUCUGCAGAUGACACUUCUUUAUAUGCAAGUGCAAAAAGAUUUCAGGUUCUGUCCUCUUUUCUUUGUUGGAACUAUCAGGUCGCGUCCUCUUGCAAUGCAAGUAUUGUUGAGGACUUGAGGCUCAGAUUUCACUUUUUGGGUUUUUUCUUCCGAGGAAAAAAAAACUUAAUAUUGGUAUGUCCUAGACCUUUUCAUUUGAACUUCAUGAUGCCCUGAUAGAUAUAACAGUUAUUUUGUUUCAGUAAGGAGGAAAAAAAUUGAAUUUGUUUGUCUGACAUUACAUAAUCUCUAAAUAUUGCGGCCGUAUCUUAUAUCUUAACUUUUAGUUUCUCUUUGCCACUAAGCACAAAAUUUUUGUAGGCUACGAAGCACUAGCAUACUACUUAUAAUCUUCCAAUCUGGUUAUGCAAAAGGUGAAUCUGUAUCCAUUAAACUUUGUUAAAUAGUAGGUCCUCUUAACAGUAUGCCUAAAACUAAUUGUUUCUCUGUGUCUAUAGUAUGUUAGUCCAGCUCAAUGGAUGUUCUUGACUAACUGCUAGCUUUAUUUGGUCUUAUCUGAUUCUCUGGUGUUAAUCCACUCCUACAUUGCCAAACUCAGUAUGAUUAAACAUGGAGUAUGUUAUAUACUUUGAUGAUAUUUUCAGAUUUUAAAUACUCCUAUAUGACAAGCACAAUCCCUGGUACUAAUGCUUACUCUUUUUAUUUCGGAUGUUCAAGUGUAGCAUCUAUUGACCAAUGCAAGCUCCAUCAGGAUGUGUGUAGUGUCCAUAAGUUUCUUUUUGGCCAGUACAGUGAGAAAAAUAUAUGGAACGUACAACAAUCCUACAUGAAACAUUCUGAACAAAGUUCUAUAGGGCCAACUUGCAUUUUCAUGUCAAGCAUGGCUGAUUAUCAGAGGGUUUAAUGAUGGAGUAGUAGAAUCAUUGCCUACGAUGAGUUCAACGGGUCGAUGUGCACAUUAACAAGCAUUGCCUGCUGUCUGCCUUCGCCUACUUUGACGAGGACGACAGCAGGUACAUAACCGUUGACCCGCUAGAAGAGGUGUGCUGGGAGUACAACACAGGCUGACGUCGGCAUCACGACAUCAUUAGGGAGGUCGGCAAUGAGAACAUGCGAUGUUCAAAUUGACUAUGGGGAGUUCGUGGCAAUGGUGAAGGGGAUCAUCGAGAAUGGAAGGCUGACCAUCAUUCUCCAUGGAGCAGACGACCUCAGCUAGCCUUUGAUUGAAAUAUUCAUAUACAACACACUAUCUUUGUUCACAUUGUGCUAUAGAUGAUAUCAAUAUUUUUAACCCAAGUCAUUAUUCAUUUUAUUUGUGUAAAGUAACUGAGAAACAAAUUCAUCUAUGUGAUUUGCAUGGUUGCAUCCGUAUGCAAUUUAAGCUGACAUAUUUUUUCAGCUGUUAUUCUCGUACUGCUAUUGGAUUGGUAUGGUUGCAUGAAAAACUGAACUUUCUUUCCAUGGGAA